RNAcentral lists this ribosomal RNA (440 nucleotides) under uncultured bacterium. RNAcentral describes it as "partial 16S ribosomal RNA". It matches the Rfam family "Bacterial small subunit ribosomal RNA", at positions 338 to 795 of the family's 1533-position model. The record is from RNAcentral.
CCUACGGGAGGCAGCAGUAGGGAAUAUUGCUCAAUGGGGGAAACCCUGAAGCAGCAACGCCGCGUGGAGGAUGAAGGUUUUCGGAUUGUAAACUCCUUUUGUUAGAGAAGAUAAUGACGGUAUCUAACGAAUAAGCACAGGGUAACUCCGUGCCAGCAGCCGCGGUAAUACGGAGGGUGCAAGCGUUACUCGGAAUCAUUGGGCGUAAAGAGCGAGCAGGCGGGAUAGCAAGUCAGAUGUGAAAUACUAGGGCUUAACCAAGGAACUGCAUUUGAAACUGUUAUUCUGGAGUAUGGGAGAGGUAGGUGGAAUUCUUGGUGUAGGGGUAAAAUCCGUAGAGAUCAAGAGGAAUACUCAUUGCGAAGGCGACCUGCUAGAACAUAACUGACGCUGAUGCGCGAAAGCGUGGGGAGCAAACAGGAUUAGAUACCCUAGUAGUC